GCCUGAAGACAGAAAUAGUUAAAAAUGGCUACCCUGGAGCUGAAACUCUGAAGUACAACAAAAUUACCAUUCUUGGCCUGAAACGGAGACCUCAAGCUGUGUCUCUGAAUGGAAGAUCCAUCCGUGGAGAUGCUGUGUCUUAUGAGAUCAGUGGGAAGCUGGUUUUGCGGAUUUCUGCUCCACUUACUCAGGAGCUCAACCUUAAGUUAUACUAGAAUGGUCAGAACACACUGACUUAAUUUAGAAUCCUUAGCCCUUUGAUUUAUCCCACUUUGAUUUUAAUGUAAAACAAAUUAAAAAUUAGUCAUUAAAACAUUGCAUGUGAACCUG
Molecule: non-coding RNA, 330 nt
Organism: Lonchura striata (white-rumped munia)
Lineage: Eukaryota; Metazoa; Chordata; Aves; Passeriformes; Estrildidae
Source: RefSeq, a predicted model, not a curated record